AUGGAUACUAGGUGUGGGGGGACUGACCCCCUCCGUGCCGCAGUUAACACAAUAAGUAUCCCACCUGGGGAGUACGAUCGCAAGGUUGAAACUCAAAGGAAUUGACGGGGGCCCGCACAAGCGGUGGAGUAUGUGGUUUAAUUCGAAGCAACGCGAAGAACCUUACCAGGGCUUGACAUCCCGGCGACCGGUGUAGAGAUACACCUUCUUCUUCGGAAGCGCCGGUGACAGGUGGUGCAUGGUUGUCGUCAGCUCGUGUCGUGAGAUGUUGGGUUAAGUCCCGCAACGAGCGCAACCCUUAUUGUUAGUUGCUACGCAAGAGCACUCUAGCGAGACUGCCGUUGACAAAACGGAGGAAGGUGGGGACGACGUCAAAUCAUCAUGCCCCUUAUGUCCUGGGCCACACACGUACUACAAUGGUGGUUAACAGAGGGAGGCAAUACCGCGAGGUGGAGCAAAUCCCUAAAAGCCAUCCCAGUUCGGAUCGCAGGCUGCAACCCGCCUGCGUGAAGUUGGAAUCGCUAGUAAUCGCGGAUCAGCAUGCCGCGGUGAAUACGUUCCCGGGCCUUGUACACACCGCCCGUC
RNAcentral lists this ribosomal RNA (585 nucleotides) under uncultured bacterium. RNAcentral's name for it is "bacterial SSU rRNA". It matches the Rfam family "Bacterial small subunit ribosomal RNA", at positions 809 to 1398 of the family's 1533-position model. The record is from RNAcentral.